GAUGAACGCUGGCGGCGUGCCUAAUACAUGCAAGUCGAACGAAACUUCUUUAUCACCGAGUGCUUGCGCUCACCGAUAAAGAGUUGAGUGGCGAACGGAUGCGUAACACGUGUGCAACCUGCCCUAAAGAGGCGGAUAACACUUGGAAACAGGUGCUAAUACCGCAUAACCAUAGUUACCGCAUGGUGACUAUGUAAAAGGUGGCUAUACUACCGCUUUUGGAUGGGCCCGCGGCGCAUUAGCUAGUUGGUAGGGUAAAGGCUUACCAAGGCAAUGAUGCGCAGCCGAAUGGAGAGGCUGAUAGGCGACAUGGGAACGGGAACAGGGCCCAAGCGACUACGAGAGGGAGCAGUAGGGAAUCGUCGGCAAUGGGCGGGAGCCUGAUGGAGCAGGGCCGCGUGGGAGAAGAAGGUGUUGGGAGCGGAAUACCGGGUUGUUGGAGAAGAAACGGCGUGAGAUGAACUGUUCACGGUGCGACGGUAUCUAAUCAGAAAGCCACGGCUAACUACGUG
Molecule: ribosomal RNA, 512 nt
Filed under: uncultured bacterium
Lineage: Bacteria
Description: partial 16S ribosomal RNA
Rfam family: Bacterial small subunit ribosomal RNA
Source: RNAcentral